GAGAGUGGGUAGUCCGCACGAGCGCACCUUACUUUUAGUUGCCAUCAUUUAGUUGGGCACUCUGAAAGAACUGCCGGUGAUAAGCUGGAGGAAGGUGGGGAUGACGUCAAGUCCUCAUGGCCCUUAUGUGUUGGGCUACACACGUGCUACAAUGGCAUUUACAAUAGGAAGCAAGAUGGUGACAUUAAGCAAAUCCUAAAAAAAUGCCUUAGUUCGGAUUGCACUCUGCAACUCGAGUACAUGAAGCUGGAAUUACUAGUAAUCGUGGGUCAGCGUGCCACGGUGAAUACGUUCCCGGGUCUUGUACACACCGCCCGUCACACCAUGGGAGUUGGUUCUACCUUAAGGCAAGGUUUAAUACCCUUGACCACGGUAUAGUCAGCGACUGGGGUGAAGUCGUAACAAGGUAGCCGUAGGGGAACCUGCGGCUGGAUUACCUCCUUUCU
RNAcentral lists this ribosomal RNA (446 nucleotides) under uncultured Pelagibacterales bacterium. RNAcentral describes it as "bacterial SSU rRNA". It matches the Rfam family "Bacterial small subunit ribosomal RNA", at positions 1072 to 1533 of the family's 1533-position model. Lineage: Bacteria; Pseudomonadati; Pseudomonadota; Alphaproteobacteria; Candidatus Pelagibacterales. The record is from RNAcentral.